Molecule: long non-coding RNA, 461 nt
Organism: Helianthus annuus (common sunflower)
Lineage: Eukaryota; Viridiplantae; Streptophyta; Magnoliopsida; Asterales; Asteraceae
Exons: 4
Source: RefSeq, a predicted model, not a curated record
GUGAACCCGUUUGAUCGUGAUUGGUUUGUGUUUCAGGGUCUGUGUUCAAACAUCCAAAUCCUCUACAAAUUAAAGAAGUGGUGGACUAGGAAUAAUGCCAACAAAACUCGAGAUAAGAGCAAAACAGUGAAGAUGGGAGUGAGGAUUGUUAGUCAGUCGACUGGUUAGACGCAGCCUUGGUGGCAUAGGAUUAAAGAUGGUGUCGUGUUGUCUUUUGGUUAAUCUAAUGGUGUUGGUGGUGAUACGGAUUCGUCUACAGCUCCACAGUCUGCUAAUUAAACACUACAAUGUGACGCCACUCCGAACCAUAAUUUGGCGGAGAAGAUAGGUUUUAUAAUCCGGCAAAAACAAGAAGAAGCCGUCAAAAUCAAGAUGAACUCCGUGAGCACAAAGUGACGCCACUCGGAACCAUAAUUUGGAGCUAUGAUGCAAGUGACAUUGAAACUCCUAGAAAUAGUUUG